GGCCGGGCCCGGUGCACGGGGGGUCUUGUGAAUCGGGUCAGGCCUUGACCGGAGCAGCCCUAAGCAACGGCUUCCCGGUGCCGUCGGUGUCCUGGCCGUC
RNAcentral lists this signal recognition particle RNA (100 nucleotides) under Planctomycetota bacterium. RNAcentral's name for it is "Planctomycetes bacterium (microbial mat metagenome) signal recognition particle sRNA small type". It matches the Rfam family "Bacterial small signal recognition particle RNA". From Rfam's summary of the family: The signal recognition particle (SRP) is a universally conserved ribonucleoprotein involved in the co-translational targeting of proteins to membranes. Archaeal SRP consists of a 7S RNA and homologues of the eukaryotic SRP19 and SRP54 proteins. In most bacteria, the SRP consists of a 4.5S RNA and the Ffh protein (a homologue of the eukaryotic SRP54 protein). The record is from RNAcentral. Lineage: Bacteria; Pseudomonadati; Planctomycetota.